Molecule: long non-coding RNA, 1133 nt
Filed under: Panax ginseng (ginseng)
Lineage: Eukaryota; Viridiplantae; Streptophyta; Magnoliopsida; Apiales; Araliaceae
Description: long non-coding RNA (PGIN_LNC018573)
Source: RNAcentral
AAAUAAUUACAAAACUAGACACAAAAAUCAAACCAUUCUCUCCCCGCCUCCUCUCUCCUACAUCCUCCUCCUCUGCCGCCUCCUCUCUCCUCCCCUUCAUCCUCCUCAUAUUCGCCCAUUGGAUUUUUGCAAAAGGCCAUUAGCCUGACCCGCUACCUGAGCUCAGGCUACUAGUACCAACUGAAAUCCAGCACAAGGAAACAGGAAAGAUGGAUUGUUCAGCAUCGAGUGGUGUGAAAGUGGAAGAAAACGCAGGGGCAGAUAGGGGUGUUCAACAGUAGAAAACCGACACAGGUACUAGUGGUGGUGCUGGUUCGGUGCUAGCACGGUUCUGGUAUAUACCUAAUUUGUACUGAAUUUUUUCUCCCUCUUUUGUCAACUUUUGUAAAAUCAACUGUGCAAAUUAAUUAGUCAUGCAAUCAAAAGAUAACCAACACAGAAUCCUUAAUUCAUCUAAACAAACAAAUACCUGUUGUAUAUUUCAACAAAAAUUAUGCCAAAUCAUAAAAUAUUCAACCUAAACUCACAUCUCAAAAGCCCAAGCACAAAUUCCAACAAAAACCUUAAAAACAAAAAGACUUUAAAGGAGAAGAAGAUGUUACCACCACUCAUUCAAGUGUUACAAUCUUGGAAUGAUUUGUGAAAAAGACAUAUUUUUGUGUUAUUUUGUCUGUGUUCAUGUAUGAUUGGGAGAUAAUAGAGUAAUUUGUGCGUGAAUGAAUUGAGUGAAAGAUGAGGAGAAUGAGAAAUACAAGUUAGAUCUAUUGUGAGUAAGAAGAGAGAGAUGGGUGAAGACAAAGGGAGUACUGUGUUUGUGUGAAGAGAAAGGAGUGGGUGGAUAGACAGAGAAAGUUAGUGGGGUUAAGUCACAAAGUUAGUGGAUAGAGAGAGAAAAAUGUACAUUUUAUCUACAUGUAAAAUAUGUGUAUAAUAAUAACAUAAAAACGUAUUUUAGUGAGAGCAGAUUCUCUGUCCUCUUGUGUUCUUCAUUUAAAUUAAAUUUUGACACAUAUCUUUUUAUUUAAUUUUAGAAUUAAUUAGUGUUAAGUGAGAGACUAGAUGUCAAAAUUUAAAUGGAGGGACACAAGGGGACAGGGAAAUUGGGGACAAAGGAUCUUCUCGUAUUUCAGUAU